RNAcentral lists this long non-coding RNA (1061 nucleotides) under Oncorhynchus mykiss (rainbow trout). RNAcentral's name for it is "lncRNA (ENSOMYG00000048938.1)". Lineage: Eukaryota; Metazoa; Chordata; Actinopteri; Salmoniformes; Salmonidae. The record is from RNAcentral.
GGUGAAUGUGUGUAUUUUAUAGGUGAAUGUGUGUAUUUUAUAGGGGAAUGUGUGUAUUUAAUAGGGGAAUGUGUGUAUUUUAUAGGUGAAUGUGUGUAUUUUAUAGGUGAAUGUGUGUAUUUUAUAGGUGAAUGUGUGUAUUUCAUAGGUGAAUGUGUGUAUGGUGAAUGUGUGUAUGGUGAAUGUGUGUAUUUUAUAGGUGAAUGUGUGUAUUUUAUAGGUGAAUGUGUGUAUUUUAUAGGUGAAUGUGUGUAUGGUGAAUGUGUGUAUUUUAUAGGUGAAUGUGUGUAUUUUAUAGGUGAAUGUGUGUAUGGUGAAUGUGUGUAUUUUAUAGGUGAAUGUGUGUAUUUUAUAGGUGAAUGUGUGUAUGGUGAAUGUGUGUAUGGUGAAUGUGUGUAUGGUGAAUGUGUGUAUUUUAUAGGUGAAUGUGUGUAUUUUAUAGGUGAAUGUGUGUAUUUUAUAGGUGAAUGUGUGUAUUUUAUAGGUGAAUGUGUGUAUUUUAUAGGUGAAUGUGUGUAUUUUAUAGGUGAAUGUGUGUAUGGUGAAUGUGUGUAUUUUAUAGGUGAAUGUGUGUAUUUUAUAGGUGAAUGUGUGUAUGGUGAAUGUGUGUAUGGUGAAUGUGUGUAUGGUGAAUGUGUGUAUUUUAUAGGUGAAUGUGUGUAUUUUAUAGGUGAAUGUGUGUAUUUUAUAGGUGAAUGUCUGUAUGGGGAAUGUGUGUAUUUUAUAGGGGAAUGUGUGUAUUUUAUAGGUGAAUGUGUGUAUGGUGAAUGUGUGUAUGGUGAAUGUGUGUAUUUUAUAGGGGAAUGUGUGUAUUUUAUAGGGGAAUGUGUGUAUUUUAUAGGUGAAUGUGUGUAUUUUAUAGGUGAAUGUCUGUAUGGGGAAUGUGUGUAUUUUAUAGGGGAAUGUGUGUAUUUUAUAGGUGAAUGUGUGUAUGGUGAAUGUGUGUAUGGUGAAUGUGUGUAUUUUAUAGGUGAAUGUGUGUAUUUUAUAGGUGAAUGUGUGUAUUUUAUAGGUGAAUGUCUGUAUGGGGAAUGUGUGUAUUUUAUAGGGGAAUGUGUGUA